This 498-nucleotide ribosomal RNA is filed under the name uncultured bacterium. RNAcentral's name for it is "partial 16S ribosomal RNA". It matches the Rfam family "Bacterial small subunit ribosomal RNA", at positions 29 to 523 of the family's 1533-position model. The record is from RNAcentral.
AUUGAACGCUGGCGGCAUGCUUUACACAUGCAAGUCGAACGGUAACAGGCCGCAAGGUGCUGACGAGUGGCGAACGGGUGAGUAAUGCAUCGGAACGUGCCCAGUCGUGGGGGAUAACGCAGCGAAAGCUGCGCUAAUACCGCAUACGAUCUAUGGAUGAAAGCGGGGGACCGUAAGGCCUCGCGCGAUUGGAGCGGCCGAUGUCAGAUUAGGUAGUUGGUGGGGUAAAGGCUCACCAAGCCAACGAUCUGUAGCUGGUCUGAGAGGACGACCAGCCACACUGGGACUGAGACACGGCCCAGACGCCUACGGGAGGCAGCAGUGGGGAAUUUUGGACAAUGGGCGCAAGCCUGAUCCAGCAAUGCCGCGUGCAGGAAGAAGGCCUUCGGGUUGUAAACUGCUUUUGUACGGAACGAAACGGUCCUGGUUAAUACCUGGGGCUAAUGACGGUACCGUAAGAAUAAGCACCGGCUAACUACGUGCCAGCAGCCGCCGUAA